Molecule: ribosomal RNA, 468 nt
Filed under: uncultured bacterium
Lineage: Bacteria
Description: partial 16S ribosomal RNA
Rfam family: Bacterial small subunit ribosomal RNA
Source: RNAcentral
GACGAACGCUGGCGGCGUGCUUAACACAUGCAAGUCGAACGGAAAGGCCCUGCUUUUGUGGGUUGCUCGAGUGGCGAACGGGUGAGUAACACGUGAGUAACCUGCCCUUGACUUUGGGAUAACUUCAGGAAACUGGGGCUAAUACCGGAUAGGAGCUCCUGCUGCAUGGUGGUGGUUGGAAAGUUUCGGCGGUUGGGGAUGGACUCGCGGCUUAUCAGCUUGUUGGUGGGGUAGUGGCUUACCAAGGCUUUGACGGGUAGCCGGCCUGAGAGGGUGACCGGGCACAUUGGGACUGAGAUACGGCCCAGACUCCUACGGGAGGCAGCAGUGGGGAAUAUUGCACAAUGGGCGGAAGCCUGAUGCAGCAACGCCGCGUGCGGGAUGACGGCCUUCGGGUUGUAAACCGCUUUCGCCUGUGACGAAGCGUGAGUGACGGUAAUGGGUAAAGAAGCACCGGCUAACUACGUG